ACAGCAGUAGCCGCGGGAACACAGAGGGUGCGAGCGUUAAUCGGAUUUACUGGGCGUAAAGCGUGCGUAGGCGGCUUCUUAAGUCGGAUGUGAAAUCCCUGAGCUUAACUUAGGAAUUGCAUUCGAUACUGGGAAGCUAGAGUAUGGGAGAGGAUGGUAGAAUUCCAGGUGUAGCGGUGAAAUGCGUAGAGAUCUGGAGGAAUACCGAUGGCGAAGGCAGCCAUCUGGCCUAAUACUGACGCUGAGGUACGAAAGCAUGGGGAGCAAACAGGAUUAGAGACCCCAGUAGUCCCUGUCUCUUAUAA
Molecule: ribosomal RNA, 305 nt
Filed under: uncultured bacterium
Lineage: Bacteria
Description: partial 16S ribosomal RNA
Rfam family: Bacterial small subunit ribosomal RNA
Source: RNAcentral